CCUACGGGUGGCAGCAGUGGGGAAUAUUGCACAAUGGGGGAAACCCUGAUGCAGCGACGCCGCGUGAGUGAAGAAGUAUUUCGGUAUGUAAAGCUCUAUCAGCAGGGAAGAAAAUGACGGUACCUGACUAAGAAGCCCCGGCUAACUACGUGCCAGCAGCCGCGGUAAUACGUGGGGGGCCAGCGUUAUCCGGAUUUACUGGGUGUAAAGGGAGCGUAGACGGCCAGAAAAGUCAGAGGUGAAAGCGCAGGGGUCAACCCUGGGACUGCUUUUGAAACUGCCGGGCUGAGGGGCAGGAAGGGUAGGCGGAAUUCCAAGUGUAGCGGUGAAAGGCGUAGAUAUUAGGAGGAACACCAGUGGCGAGGGCGGCUUACUGGACUGUAACGGACGUUGAGGCUCGAAAGCGUGGGGAGCAAACAGGAUUAGAUACCCUGUAGUC
This 439-nucleotide ribosomal RNA is filed under the name uncultured bacterium. RNAcentral describes it as "partial 16S ribosomal RNA". It matches the Rfam family "Bacterial small subunit ribosomal RNA", at positions 338 to 795 of the family's 1533-position model. The record is from RNAcentral.